ACCAGUGACACCUCCCUAGUACAGAUGGGUGACCAGUCACAUUAGAGGGAACUGAUCCCCAUCUCUCCUCUUCCCUGCCUCCCUCCAACCUAGAGCAACUUGACCUGUGAAAGGGAAGAUGAAGAAAGAAAGGGCAGGCCACAUACAUGUCCUCCCGAAGCCUACCUUUGCCAAGGAGAAAGGGAAGUGACUUUUGAAGCACAAAAAUGUUCCACUUCGAUGAAGUCCAGCUACGACGGGGGCUGGGGCUCCCUUCUCCGAGUCCCACACAGAGAGGGAGAGAAGUGAACCGAAGGCAUAUUCUACCCCAGCUGGAGCUGACCUGCAGAUGCAGCCCUUCCUCCCCAUUUGGAGCUGCCUAUUAUCAUGGAAAGAUUAACAACUUGGCUACAGAAACCAGAAUCGCCAGCCCUUUGAAGAUCCCCAGCCCCUUUGCAUACCUGUAGGCCUUUGCAGACCUCCAGCCUGCUUACCUGUUAAUUGCCCAUAUGGCACUCCCUUUGGCUAUUUCCCCAUGUAACCCCAGCCCUUGCAUAUCACUAAGCCCUUUGAAGACCCCUAGUUCUUUUGGAUAUCUGUAAACUGUCCUUUUGCCUACUGUUCCUUUGUACUUUUCCUAUAUAAGCAGCUGGCUUAUC
Myotis lucifugus (little brown bat) is the source of this 638-nucleotide long non-coding RNA. RefSeq lists it as uncharacterized. The record is from RefSeq and is a predicted model, not a curated record. The transcript is spliced from 3 exons. Lineage: Eukaryota; Metazoa; Chordata; Mammalia; Chiroptera; Vespertilionidae.